RNAcentral lists this ribosomal RNA (254 nucleotides) under uncultured bacterium. RNAcentral describes it as "partial 16S ribosomal RNA". It matches the Rfam family "Bacterial small subunit ribosomal RNA", at positions 524 to 776 of the family's 1533-position model. The record is from RNAcentral.
GACAGAGGAUGCAAGCAUUAUCCGGAAUGAUUGGGCGUAAAGCGUCUGUAGGUGGCUUUUCAAGUCUGCCGUCAAAUCCCAGGGCUCAACCCUGGACAGGCAGUGGAAACUAACAAGCUGGAGUACGGUAGGGGCAGAGGGAAUUUCCGGUGGAGCGGUGAAAUGCAUUGAGAUCGGAAAGAACACCAACGACAAAAGCACUCUCGCUGGGCCGACACUGACACUAAGAGACGAAAGCUAGGGGAGCAAAUGGG